RNAcentral lists this ribosomal RNA (649 nucleotides) under uncultured Gammaproteobacteria bacterium. RNAcentral's name for it is "bacterial SSU rRNA". It matches the Rfam family "Bacterial small subunit ribosomal RNA", at positions 111 to 793 of the family's 1533-position model. Lineage: Bacteria; Pseudomonadati; Pseudomonadota; Gammaproteobacteria. The record is from RNAcentral.
UAACGCGUGGGAAUCUACCCAGUAGUGGGGGACAACUACCGGAAACGGUAGCUAAUACCGCAUACGCCCUAUGGGGGAAAGGCUUCGGCCGCUAUUGGAUGAGCCCGCGUCAGAUCAGCUAGUUGGUAGGGUAAAGGCCUACCAAGGCAACGAUCUGUAGCUGGUCUGAGAGGACGAACAGCCACACUGGGACUGAGACACGGCCCAGACUCCUACGGGAGGCAGCAGUGGGGAAUAUUGGACAAUGGGCGAAAGCCUGAUCCAGCAAUGCCGCGUGUGUGAAGAAGGCCUGCGGGUUGUAAAGCACUUUCAGUUGGGAAGAUGAUGACGUUACCAACAGAAGAAGCACCGGCUAAAUCCGUGCCAGCAGCCGCGGUAAUACGGAUGGUGCGAGCGUUAAUCGGAAUUACUGGGCGUAAAGCGCGCGUAGGCGGCUAAGUCAGUCAGAAGUGAAAGCCCCGGGCUCAACCUGGGAAUUGCUUUUGAUACUGCUUAGCUAGAGUUUGGUAGAGGAUAGUGGAAUUCCAGGUGUAGCGGUGAAAUGCGUAGAUAUCUGGAGGAACAUCAGUGGCGAAGGCGACUGUCUGGACCAAAACUGACGCUGAGGUGCGAAAGCGUGGGUAGCAAACAGGAUUAGAUACCCUGGUAG